RNAcentral lists this ribosomal RNA (253 nucleotides) under uncultured bacterium. RNAcentral's name for it is "partial 16S ribosomal RNA". It matches the Rfam family "Bacterial small subunit ribosomal RNA", at positions 524 to 776 of the family's 1533-position model. The record is from RNAcentral.
UACGUAGGGGGCAAGCGUUGUCCGGAUUUAUUGGGCGUAAAGAGCGUGUAGGCGGCCAGAUAGGUCCGUUGUGAAAACUCGAGGCUCAACCUCGAGACGUCGAUGGAAACCAUCUGGCUAGAGUCCGGAAGAGGAGAGUGGAAUUCCUGGUGUAGCGGUGAAAUGCGCAGAUAUCAGGAAGAACACCCGUGGCGAAGGCGGCUCUCUGGGACGGUACUGACGCUGAGACGCGAAAGCGUGGGGAGCGAACAGG